Molecule: ribosomal RNA, 251 nt
Filed under: uncultured Turicibacter sp.
Lineage: Bacteria; Bacillati; Bacillota; Erysipelotrichia; Erysipelotrichales; Turicibacteraceae
Description: partial 16S ribosomal RNA
Rfam family: Bacterial small subunit ribosomal RNA
Source: RNAcentral
UACGUAGGUGGCGAGCGUUAUCCGGAAUUAUUGGGCGUAAAGAGCGCGCAGGUGGUUGAUUAAGUCUGAUGUGAAAGCCCACGGCUUAACCGUGGAGGGUCAUUGGAAACUGGUCAACUUGAGUGCAGAAGAGGGAAGUGGAAUUCCAUGUGUAGCGGUGAAAUGCGUAGAGAUAUGGAGGAACACCAGUGGCGAAGGCGGCUUCCUGGUCUGUAACUGACACAGAGGCGCGAAAGCGUGGGGAGCAAACA